RNAcentral lists this long non-coding RNA (369 nucleotides) under Elaeis guineensis (African oil palm). RNAcentral describes it as "long non-coding RNA (EGUI_LNC008724)". The record is from RNAcentral. Lineage: Eukaryota; Viridiplantae; Streptophyta; Magnoliopsida; Arecales; Arecaceae.
CACAAUUACUAGAUACAGAGAGAGAGAGAGAGAGAGAGAGAAGAAUCAGUACACAUAUAAAGGGAGAAAGUACCUUUCCUGACAACUUAGAGCCGCAAUGUAAAUCAAAGUAACUCAGUGACACAAGUGAAGACAAAAAGCCCAAGCCAACGAUUGGAUGAUGUGCCAAAAUAUAAUGUUAAAACAGGCUAGAGCACCAAGAACAAAGUCCACCAAUAGCAUGAAGUAGCUAAAAAGCAUGAGAAGACUUGCACACCAAUUUAUCCUGAUGCUGAUAUUCAUUGAGUCAACAAACAAAGCCCAUUACCCAAAAGAUCUAUUUCAUUAUCUAGUUUCAUAAUUGUGAUUCUACAGUAUAGGCACACUAAU